AUGGCGUGGCGGCGGGCGUUGGGCACAUGUCGCACUCUCCUCUUCCUCCCAUCCUCCCCCCAGUCAGAUCUUAGAUCUGGCCCUUGUCCGCCGCUGGUCGCCGGAUCCGCUGUUGACGGGGCUGCUGGAGGGGUGGUAACGGACCAGGAGAAAUCCCUGGCUGGAUUCCUGGCCACGACGACAGCGACACCUCCUGGUGCCGUCUUCCUCCUUGGAGGCUCCGUCGAGGUGCGUUUACCCCCUUCCCUCCCACUCGCAUGCCCGAGUGAAAACUCUAUUCUCUUCAGACUGGGCUGCAGCAACGUUUCAUGCGUCGCCAUCUUCCUGAAGGUGCCACCUUGGUUGAGUUGGGGGUGUGCAGGGGCGAUGGGUGUGGUUGUCAAGUGUGUGGCGGCUUUGCAGGUGGAGGUGGUGCCAUGA
This 420-nucleotide ribosomal RNA is filed under the name Triticum aestivum (bread wheat). RNAcentral's name for it is "partial small subunit ribosomal RNA". Lineage: Eukaryota; Viridiplantae; Streptophyta; Magnoliopsida; Poales; Poaceae. The record is from RNAcentral.